Molecule: ribosomal RNA, 366 nt
Filed under: uncultured bacterium
Lineage: Bacteria
Description: bacterial SSU rRNA
Rfam family: Bacterial small subunit ribosomal RNA
Source: RNAcentral
AACGAACGCUGGCGGCAGGCCUAACACAUGCAAGUCGAACGCCCUAGCAAUAGGGAGUGGCAGACGGGUGAGUAACGCGUGGGAACCUUCCCUGUGGUGCGGAAUAACUCGCCGAAGGCGUGCUAAUACCGCAUAAGCCCGCAAGGGAAAGAUUUAUCGCCAUAGGAUGGGCCCGCGUAGGAUUAGCUAGUUGGUGAGGUAAUGGCUCACCAAGGCGACGAUCCUUAGCGGUUUGAGAGAAUGACCAGCCACACCUGGGACUGAGACACGGCCCAGACUCCUACGGGAGGCAGCAGUGGGGAAUCUUGGACAAUGGGCGCAAGCCUGAUCCAGCCAUGCCGCGUGAGUGACGAAGGCCUUCGGUUG